UACGUAGGGUGCAAGCGUUGUCCGGAAUUAUUGGGCGUAAAGAGCUCGUAGGCGGUUUGUCGCGUCUGCUGUGAAAACUCGGGGCUUAACUCCGGGCCUGCAGUGGGUACGGGCAGACUAGAGUGCGGUAGGGGAGACUGGAAUUCCUGGUGUAGCGGUGAAAUUCGUAGAUAUCGGGAGGAACACCGGUGGCGAAGGCGGCGCUCUGGACCGAGACUGACGCUGAGGCGCGAAAGCGUGGGGAGCAAACAGG
RNAcentral lists this ribosomal RNA (253 nucleotides) under uncultured bacterium. RNAcentral describes it as "partial 16S ribosomal RNA". It matches the Rfam family "Bacterial small subunit ribosomal RNA", at positions 524 to 776 of the family's 1533-position model. The record is from RNAcentral.